GCGGUCCUGCAGCCUCGGUUUGGGGCGUUCACAUGUCGGAAUCUCCCCGUGGAGUCCCUGCGAUGCCGCAAGAGGAGGGGAAGGUCAGGGAUGGCCAGGUCAUCGCAGGAGAUGGCGGUGGUUCGAUUUAUACCCGAGCUCGGAGAGGUGUGGUUCCAGCAUAGAGAUGACAGCGUUAGAGGGCACGGGCUGUGCUGUGGUGGCGUGGGUGGCAAAAAGGAGGGGCAAUGGGUGUUUCAGGGCUUUUUAUAGAGGAAGAGGAGCACGGGGGAGGGGGAAUUAGGCUGGGGGAGAUCACGGCCAUGGCCGGUCAUUUGAACUGCAAUAACUUGCCAUAAAGCGAGCGUGAGGAGGGGGACAGGGACGGGGGAGAGAGGGAAGGCAGUGGUGAUCUCGGGAGUGGGGCUAGGUAGACGCGGCUCGGUGCGAGGGCGUGUGGAUUUGGACAGGAGGAUGGCCACGUUCAUGCGGCGUGGUAGGGGAAAGAAAGGAAGGAAGGGAGGUUAGGGGUGACAGGCGGGGCCUACCUGGUGGUGAGAGGGAGGGGAGAUAGGUGUCAGGCCACUGGUGGGCUUGGCCCGCGAAGGAGAAGGUGAGGGGGAAGCUGGGUUGGCAUUUGAAAUGGAUUUCGGCCCAACUCCGGAUUGCUCAUUUCCAGCAUUUAAAUGUUCCAUAGAUGAAACCUAUUCGGAUUUUAUAAUACAAAUUCAUUUUUCAAACACGAAACCUAUGCAAAGCAGCAUGAAUGCAAACAAAUAAAUUUGUCUCCUAUGGUUCAUUUAAAUUUAUUCUAGAAAAUAUUAUUUGCAUGCAGCUAAUUGUGAAUUAAAGCAAAA
This 836-nucleotide long non-coding RNA is filed under the name Setaria viridis. RNAcentral's name for it is "long non-coding RNA (SVIR_LNC011023)". The record is from RNAcentral. Lineage: Eukaryota; Viridiplantae; Streptophyta; Magnoliopsida; Poales; Poaceae.